CACGCCGUAAACGAUGUCAACUAGUUGUUGGGUUCCUUGUGGACUUAGUAACGCAGCUAACGCAUUAAGUUGACCGCCUGGGGAGUACGGCCGCAAGGUUAAAACUCAAAUGAAUUGACGGGGGCCCGCACAAGCGGUGGAGCAUGUGGUUUAAUUCGAAGCAACGCGAAGAACCUUACCUGGCCUUGACAUGUAGCGAAUCUUUCAGAGAUGAGGGAGUGCCUUCGGGAACGCUAACACAGGUGC
RNAcentral lists this ribosomal RNA (246 nucleotides) under uncultured Pseudomonas sp. Its description in RNAcentral is "partial 16S ribosomal RNA". It matches the Rfam family "Bacterial small subunit ribosomal RNA", at positions 796 to 1041 of the family's 1533-position model. Lineage: Bacteria; Pseudomonadati; Pseudomonadota; Gammaproteobacteria; Pseudomonadales; Pseudomonadaceae. The record is from RNAcentral.